GGGCUGUGCUCAGAGCAGGGGGCCUGAAGAAAUGUCUCCUCUGUUUACAACACACCCGACAGGGAUCUGGGUUCCUUGUGAGCAGAGGCACGAAUCUCAUGGCCUUCCUGAGCAAACCCCAUACACGU
This is a small nucleolar RNA of Camelus dromedarius (Arabian camel), 128 nucleotides long. NCBI's taxonomy places the organism in Eukaryota, Metazoa, Chordata, Mammalia, Artiodactyla, Camelidae. The record is from Ensembl.